UUCGCAUUGUUCGCACUCCAGCGGCAGACCAAGCCCUCCCUGAUCGGUUCACGAGGGGAGAGAGCGAGCGGAGCGACCGAGGAAGAGACAGCGAGGAGAAGAGAAGGAGCGGGCGAGAACGGGAAAAGUGGCCGUUUUUCUCUCCUUUCGGGCAUCGCCGCAGCGUCGUCUCCCCCCCGAUUCUGAGCGAGUUCAGGGCAAAACCAACAUUUCCCUCAGCGCAUUUCUGUCUACGGAAUCCAUGAAUGGCAGUGCCUUUCUCUGGGUGAAGGUGUUUGCUGCCGCUUAAAUCUCUGUUGGGAAUGGCCAGCAAUCCGCAGUCUUCUGGGGCACAGCCCCUUAGGCCUGCAGUGGUGGGGUCCACAGGUCCACCUCAAAAUUUUGGUCCCCCAAUGUCUAUGCAGUUCAGACCUGUGGUUCCGGCUCAGCAAACACAUCAGUUCAUCCCAGCAGCUUCUCAGCAAUUCCGACCUGUUGGGCAAGGUGUUCCUGGUUCAAAUAUUGGAAUACCUUCUGGUCAGACUCAAAUGCACCAUUUUCCUCAACCUGCACAGCAUCUGCCAAGAUCAGGUCCGCCAGCACCACCUUCUUCACAAGCAAUUCCAAUGCCAUAUGGUCAGCCAAGUAUGCCCAUGACAUCUGGGUCACUGCAGCCCCAGCAAAAUCCUCAGAUGCAAAACAGUCAUCUGCCUAAUUUAGGUGGCAUAGGAAUGCCCCUUUCUUCAUCUUAUACAUUUGCAACAUCUUAUUGCCAGCCACCAAAUACUCUUAAUAACCCAUCCCAGUAUCAACCAGCAUCCCAGAUGCAAGCACCCAUUACACCUGCGAUGGGACAACCGUGGUCUGCACCUGGGACUCAGAAUGUACCUCUUGUUACACCUCUGGUGCAGGCUGCACCACAAUCUUCAGCUACGGGGGCUGCAGUGGGCACAGCUGCUACAACAAAUGCACAACCUAGGUCUUCUGAACAGGUCUCUUCUGAUUGGCAAGAGCACACAUCUGUUGAUGGAAAAAGAUAUUACUACAAUAAGAAGACUAGACAAUCUAGCUGGGAGAAGCCCCUUGAGUUGAUGACGCCUAUCGAGAGGGCUGAUGCCUCGACUGAUUGGAAGGAGUUCAGCACUUCAGAUGGACGAACAUACUAUUAUAACAAGGUCACAAAGAUAUCAAAAUGGAUAAUUCCUGAUGAGCUCAAGUUAGCUCGUGAACAAGCAUUAAGGGCUGCAGCUCAGCAGGCACAUACAGAAACUGGAACAGCUUCCGUUGCCCCAGUUGCUCCAACUGUUUCGUCUGGAGAGAUCCCUUCUGCCACAACAGACUCUGUGACUCCUGGAACAACAUCUGCAGUAGUAUCAAGCUCAGUUCCAGUGGCAGUCAACUCAAUUACACCACCAGCUGUGAUGGCUUCGGUAUCACCAUCUGUUGUACCAUCAGCUGGAAUCUCGUCGAGUUCCUCCUUGGGAAUUCCAAACACAAUUGGCUCAUCAAAUCUUCAGACAACUGUAACUCCAUUACCUGCACCUGUUUCUGCUAAUACGGUGGUAUCUACUGUUGCAAUAGAAUCUGCAUCAUCUAACACUAAGAGUAAUCAUGACAGCUCAUCUCUCCUAAAUACUGCAAGUGUGCCUGAUGGUGCUUCUGCUCAGGAUUUGGAGGAAGCUAAAAAGGCCAUGCCAGUUACUGGAAGAGUCAAUGUCACUCCAUUGGAGGAGAAAACAAUUGAUGAAGAACCUUUGGUUUAUUCUAAUAAGCAGGAGGCAAAAGCUGCAUUCAAAGCCCUACUGGAAUCUGCAAAUGUUGAAUCUGAUUGGACUUGGGAGCAGGCAAUGAGAGUUAUUAUCAAUGACAAGAGAUAUGGUGCGUUAAAGACCCUUGGUGAGAGGAAACAAGCAUUUAAUGAGUACUUGGGACAAAGGAAAAAACAGGAAGCUGAGGAAAGGCGCAUUAAACAAAAGAAAGCACGAGAAGACUUCACCAGAAUGUUGGAAGAAUGCAAAGAAUUAACUUCGUCAACCCGGUGGAGUAAAGCCGUGACCAUGUUUGAGAAUGAUGAACGGUUUCAUGCUGUUGAGCGGGCAAGAGAUCGUGAGGAUCUAUUUGAAAGCUAUUUGGUGGAUCUCCAGAAAAAGGAAAGAGCGAAGGCUGCCGAGGAGCAUAAACGAAAUAUAAUGGAGUAUAGAACUUUUCUUGAAUCUUGUGACUUUAUUAAGGCAAACACCCAAUGGAGGAAAGUUCAAGAUCGACUGGAGGAUGACGAAAGAUGUUCUCGACUUGAAAAAAUUGAUCGUUUGGAGAUCUUCCAGGAGUACAUACAUGAUCUGGAAAAGGAAGAGGAGGAACAGCGGAAGAUACAGAAGGAGCAAUUAAGACGGCUGGAGCGCAAAAACCGUGAUGAGUUCCGCAAAUUAAUGGAAGAACAUGUUGCUGCUGGAAUUCUUACAGCUAAAACUCACUGGCGCGAUUACUGUAUGCAGGUGAAGGAUUUGCCACCUUACAUAGCAGUAUCAUCAAACACAUCAGGUUCAACACCAAAAGAUCUGUUUGAGGAUGUUGCAGAGGAACUUGACAAGCAGUACCAUGAGGACAAGGCCCAGAUCAAAGAAGCAAUUAAGAUCCGAAAGAUUGCUUUGGCAUCUUCAUGGACAUUUGAAGAUUUCAAGGCUGCUACUUCGGGUGAUGACAGCCUACAAGGAAUAUCAGAGACAAACAUGAAGCUUGUUUUUGAUGAGUUACUGGAAAGGCUUAGGGAGAAGGAGGAGAAGGAGGCUAAGAAGCGCCAACGUCUUGCAGAUAAUUUUUCUGACCUGCUUUACUCAAUUAAGGAAAUAACUGCUUCAUCUAGAUGGGAGGACUGCAAAUCACUGUUUGAAGACACCCAAGAGUACAGGUCCAUUGGUGAUGAGAACUUUGUAAAAGAGAUUUUUGAAGAACAUGUAGCCCACUUGCAAGAAAAGCUGAAAGAGAAGGAGCGUAAAAGAGAAGAGGAAAAGGCAAAGAAAGAGAAAGAAAGAGAGGAGAAAGAGAAGAGGAAGGAGAAGGAAAGGAAAGAAAAGGAAGAAAGGAAGGAAAAAGAGAGAGAACGCGAAAAAGAGAAGGGAAAGGACCGAUCUAGAAAGGAUGAAGCAGAAAGUGAAAAUGUUGAUAUGAUGGACAGCCAUGGCUCGAAGGAUAAAAAGAGGGAAAAUGAUAAGGAAAGAAAGCACCGGAAACGUCACCACAGCAUGGUUGAUGAUGUAAGCUCUGAAAAAGAUGAUAAAGAGGAGUCCAAGAAGUCCCGUAGGCGUAGGCAUAGCGGUGACCGCAAAAAAUCGCGUAAGCACACUUACACUACCGAUUCAGAUAGUGAAAAUCGACACAAGAGGCAUAAGAAAGAUCGAGAUGGGUCCCGUAGAAAUGGUGGUUAUGAAGAGCUUGAGGAUGGGGAACUUGGAGAGGAUGGGGAAAUACAUGCUGUCUAAAAAUGUGAGAAGGGGCAAGGAUGUCACUAACGGCUGCGCAGGCAGGGCAGUCCCAGUGCCUAGGUGCUUAGCACUUUCCAGGCUUUCCGGCAGGACAACCACCCAGGGUUCUAGUUUAAGAAUCAUGUGCCAGGUACUGUGGGGCUAGAGAUUUCCACGUUUAUUCUGGUGAUGGAAUCCGUGCAUCUCACUGGUUGAAGCAUGCCUUCAGCAGCGUACCGUUCCAUGUAUUUUUCAUUUCCUUGCUGUAUUGACCCAGGAUAAGGUUUAGAAGGUACCGAGACAGCAAUUUUCCCUGAUGCAACAUCCUGGUAUGGCUAUGAGCUCAUUUGAGGUGAUUUGCUGAGGCCACAGGAUAUUGUCAUUUGCUUCACCUUUGGGCUUCAUGCUAAAACCCUACUUGUUGGAUAUAGCGAGUGCUUUAGAUUUUCACUUGAUGGCCUUUUUAAGUUUUGAGUGCUAUGUUACCAAGCUCUUGGAGGUGUGAUGCAUCUGGCUUUUCGCGUGGAGCUUUCAUUGCCCGAAGCUUUGAAAAUGUCUCCUAUGGUGGUUGUAAUCACACCUAUAUCCUAUGGUGGGUUCCGAAUAGCUCUGGCAAUUGUUAGGUAUUGUUUCUUCGGUCAAAGUGUAUCAGAUUUGCAAAUUUUGGUAUAGAUUGGGAGUAGGAUAAUGCAAUAUAGUUAUUUAAAUUUGUUUGCAUUUA
Molecule: non-coding RNA, 4161 nt
Organism: Phoenix dactylifera (date palm)
Lineage: Eukaryota; Viridiplantae; Streptophyta; Magnoliopsida; Arecales; Arecaceae
Source: RefSeq, a predicted model, not a curated record